RNAcentral lists this ribosomal RNA (164 nucleotides) under Monticalia peruviana. RNAcentral's name for it is "5.8S ribosomal RNA". It matches the Rfam family "5.8S ribosomal RNA". Rfam says of the family: 5.8S ribosomal RNA (5.8S rRNA) is a component of the large subunit of the eukaryotic ribosome. The record is from RNAcentral. Lineage: Eukaryota; Viridiplantae; Streptophyta; Magnoliopsida; Asterales; Asteraceae.
CAAACGACUCUCGGCAACGGAUAUCUCGGCUCACGCAUCGAUGAAGAACGUAGCAAAAUGCGAUACUUGGUGUGAAUUGCAGAAUCCCGUGAACCAUYGAGUUYUUGAACGCAAGUUGCGCCCAAAGCCUUUUGGCCGAGGGCACGUCUGCCUGGGCGUCACAC